UUGCUUAGCGACUGUGGGAGGGGCAGUGCCACUUGGUGACUCCCACCUCCUUGGAGAGGGGGCGGAGCUGUGCCUUGUUCGCUAGAUUUCUCCCGUCUCCUUCCCCCACCACCCCGUGGGCUCUAGCUGUAGGGUUCCGACUCACCCGUUUCCCCUUUUUAGAGAUCUGUCUGCAGUCACCAUGCAACUCGCUGGGAGAUGCUGAUUGGAUUGCAAAUUAGUCCUUCUGAGUGGAUCCAUAUUGAAGACAGGAAACACAGUAAAGCUUUUGGCAACAAGAAAGGAGACUCUUAAGCCAUCUUCUUUUCCGCCAGGAUUGAUUUAACUCUCGUCUUAUUCCAGACACACCUCCAAGAGUUGCCUCCCAAGAAAAAGGAAGUCUGGGUCUUUAUGAAAUUAUAAGCUAAACAGGUGAAGAUGUAGAACUCAGCUCCUCCUGCACCAUGCCUUCCUGGAUGCUGUGACGCUGCCAUGCUCCCUCCUUGAUGAUAAUGGACUGAACCUCUGAACCUGUAAGCCAGCCCCAAUUAAAUGUUUUCCUUUAUAAAACUUACAUUGGUCAUGGUGUCUGUUCACAGCAAUAAGACCCUAACUAAGACACUAGCUCUUCAGUUCUAUUCCACUGAUCCACCUGUCUGUCUCUAUACCAAUACCAUGCAGUUUUUAAUCACUAUUGCUCUGUAGUAUAGCUUGAGGUCAGGGAUAGUGAUUUCCCCCCAGAAUUUUUUUAUUGUUAAGAAUUGUUUUUUUUUUCUAUCACAACUUCAGCAAAGUGGCUGGAUAUAAAAUUAACUGAAACAAAUGAGUCGCUUUCCUUAUAUAAAUGAUAAACAGGCUAAGAAAGAAAAUAAGGAAACAACACCCUUCACAAUAAUCACAAAUAAUAUAAAAUAUCUCGGGGUAACUCUAACCAAACAAGUGAAAGAUCUGUAUGACAAGAACUUCAAGUGUCUGAAGAAAGAAAUCAAAGAAGACCUUAGACAAUGAAGAAAUCUCUCAUGCUCAUGGAUUGGUAAGAUUAACAUAGUAAAAAUGGUCAUCUUACCAAAAGCAAUCUACAGAUUCAAUGCAAUCCCCAUCAAAAUUCCAACACAAUUCUUCACAGACAUGGAAACAGCAAUUCUCAAUUUCAUAUAGAAAAACAAUUUAUCACAACUAAACCUGACUGCAUUCUUAGCUAAUCCUGACUUGUUGAGCUUUGAGACAGGGUUUGAUUAAGUUGCAUAGCUUGGUCUUGAAAUCCUAGGCUUGAGUAACCCAAGUCAAUCCCAGUAUUGAAUUACAGGUGCAUAGCAUCCACGCCCAGCUUCUAUUUUACAGCUAUCAAUUGGUAAUUUCCAUGUCUGAGUCCUGUCACUCUCUGUUUAGACUAGCUCUCUGAAAACUUUAAAGCCUUGGGGUCACCUUUCCUUGCAUUUUUGUUGUUAUUAAACAUUUUUAAAGGAUACUGUAGAGUCUCUAUGCAUUCUGUCGUCUCUUUAGGGAAAGGGAUACCGUUUUCUUUAAGUCAUUACUACAACAUAUCUACUACUCUUAAAUGUGCUCCUGUAGCUCCUUGGGUAUUUCUAUGGAAAACCAACAUAGUCAAGUAUCUCUCAUUUUCAUGGCUUGAUUUCUAGUGCUGCCUCCAGAGGGAAAAAGUUGCUGCUUUCUCACUCGACCUUUUGUUGGUAUUUGUUUUUAUUAUUAUUAUUAUUAUUAUUAUUAUUAUUAUUAUUAUUUGGAUUUUGUUUAUAUUAGAGAAUAGUUGAAGAUUUUAGGAAUACUUGUUUUUGCCUACAGGGGCACACCUUUUUGACUAGGAUUUUUUUUUUUAAUAUUCCUAUCACUUUCAGCAGCAGACACUGUAUCUGAAUCCUAAGUCCAAAAGGAAUAUUGCUUUCUACACACACACCUCCCUCUCCCU
Rattus norvegicus (Norway rat) is the source of this 1906-nucleotide non-coding RNA. The record is from RefSeq and is a predicted model, not a curated record. Lineage: Eukaryota; Metazoa; Chordata; Mammalia; Rodentia; Muridae.